UGGAGGGGGAUAACUACUGGAAACGGUAGCUAAUACCGCAUAACGUCGCAAGACCAAAGAGGGGGACCUUCGGACCUCUUGCCAUCGGAUGUGCCCAGAUGGGAUUAGCUAGUAGGUGGGGUAACGGCUCACCUAGGCGACGAUCCCUAGCUGGUCUGAGAGGAUGACCAGCCACACUGGAACUGAGACACGGUCCAGACU
RNAcentral lists this ribosomal RNA (201 nucleotides) under Escherichia coli. RNAcentral describes it as "partial 16S ribosomal RNA". It matches the Rfam family "Bacterial small subunit ribosomal RNA", at positions 134 to 337 of the family's 1533-position model. The record is from RNAcentral. Lineage: Bacteria; Pseudomonadati; Pseudomonadota; Gammaproteobacteria; Enterobacterales; Enterobacteriaceae.